UGCGGAUCGUGUGGAUCCUACUUCCUGUGUCUUGCCUGGCCGCCAGCAAGACUGAGGUGCAGGUGAACGAAUGAAGGAGUCUACAAUAGCCCAAGACCUAGGAAGACAAACCAGGAGUAUGAUGUUGGAAAAACAGAAGAAUAGGUUCCAAGGACGAAGUGGUGAGCAGUGCUGACGUGGCAGCCAUCAGUCUCGUGCAAAGGUGAAGAGUGCCUAUCUUGUGACUGCCGUUGGCUAAUCCGAGCCUCCCCAAGAUGCUGAGUCCUUUCCAACGGGUCCUAACCUGGUGAUUAAGGUGCUAUGCGAGGCACUAGUCAUGCAGAACUGAACAAGAAAAUGUUCCUGUGAAGCGCAUCCUGCAGAGGGCGCAGCUCACAGUGGCCCAUGAGGGGAUCGAACCGGCAAGCUUGGUGUUCCCACCACCACGCUCUAACCAACUGAGUUAACCGGCCAUCCCUAACAUACUUCUAACUGUGGAACCCCAGAAUGAAGGAACAGAAAGAGCAAAAGAGAGGCACUUUUGAAGACAUAAUGGCUGUAAAAUUUCUACAAAUGAACUAAAUCUGCAUGUCCAAAUCACAUAAUACAUCUAGUUAAAUAAGAAAAAUGCACGCGGUGGUAGCCCGUCUACAAGAUAGCUCGCGAUGAUCUUCACCUUGGUAUUCGUAACCUGUGUGUAGUUGCCUCCUGCACUGUAUCAGGGUAGGUUGGUGUGACCAACAGAAUAGAAGUGAUAAUAUAUCGCUUCUGAGAUUAGGUUCUAAGGGACACUGUGGCUUCCACCUUGGUGAUUCUCUUUUGGAUACUUGUUCUGGGGAAAGUCCGCUGCCGUGUCAUGAGCAGCCCUAAGGAGAGGCCCACAUGAUGAAGAACUGAGGCCUCCUACCAGCAAUCCUAUGAAUGAGCCAUUUUGAGCAGAUCCUUAAGCCCUAGUCAAACGUUCAGAUGACGAUAGCCCCAACCAACAGUUCGUAAGAGACUGUGAGCCAGAAUCACCUAGAUAAGCAGCUCCCAGAUUCCUGACCCUCCGAAAAACUAUGUGAGAUAACAAAUACCUAACCUGCUAUGUUUGCGGUGAGUUUUACACAGGGAUGGAUGACUAACACACAUGCUAAGACCAAACAGUUUCGAAUGGCUUAUGAAGAGACUUCUCCAACUGGUCCAGACCGUCUCUCCAGCUUCACUUGAAACACACCGAAGUUCUUUCAGUUUCUGUAAUGCAUCCUGUUCUCUCUUAUUUCCACCCCUCUGGACAGCUCACAUGAUGUACCCCCUGCCUGACAGUCUUCGACAUCUCCUCUACUCCUAACGCAUAUACUCCUUGGGCUAACCUCCCGAUCAUUCGAGCACUCAUAUCGUCUAACAAACUCUUGUUAAAUUGUUUCUCCUUCCAUUAGACGGCAGCCUCCAAAGAGGCGGAGACAAUAUCUGUCUCCAUUAUUAUGCCAGCACAGUUCCUAGCACAAAGAAGGCACUCAGUAAAUAUUUGUCCCUCACAGCCCCCAGGAUAGGGACAGGCAGAAGGCUAAAGGUGGAAGAAUGUAAACAUUCUUAGGCAAUGAUCCAAACAAAUCUUCAGCCUAGCAACUGAAAUAACUGCAAAAGAAUCGAGAAACCCCUAUAUAUACAACCUCAGAUUUAGGGAAGGCUUGGGGUAGGGUCGAGACUCUAAAGUUGGAUGGUUUCCAGCUCCUCCCAAGUUGAGACCCCCUUCUUGUGGUUUCAUUAUGAUCCUUGAAUGGAAAUCUCUGAUCAGACACACCCAUUCUUAAAAGCACACUCCCAAUUUACUCAAAGAACUAACAGAAAUGAUUUGAAAAUAAUUACCAUGUUCUUUGUUUGUAGGACAAUUCCAGCCUAUUAUAUUGAUACUGAAGAUCUGAUCGUAAAUGGUAUUUGCAGUG
Rhinolophus ferrumequinum (greater horseshoe bat) is the source of this 1904-nucleotide long non-coding RNA. RefSeq lists it as uncharacterized. The transcript is spliced from 5 exons. The record is from RefSeq and is a predicted model, not a curated record. Lineage: Eukaryota; Metazoa; Chordata; Mammalia; Chiroptera; Rhinolophidae.